This 504-nucleotide ribosomal RNA is filed under the name uncultured bacterium. RNAcentral describes it as "partial 16S ribosomal RNA". It matches the Rfam family "Bacterial small subunit ribosomal RNA", at positions 29 to 523 of the family's 1533-position model. The record is from RNAcentral.
AUUGAACGCUGGCGGCAGGCCUAACACAUGCAAGUCGAACGGUAGCACAGAGAGCUUGCUCUCGGGUGACGAGUGGCGGACGGGUGAGUAACGUCUGGGAAACUGCCCGAUGGAGGGGGAUAACUACCGGAAACGGUAGCUAAUACCGCAUAACGUCGCAAGACCAAAGUGGGGGACCUUCGGGCCUCACACCAUCGGAUGUGCCCAGAUGGGAUUAGCUAGUAGGUGGGGGAAUGGCUCACCUAGGCGACGAUCACUAGCUGGGCUGAGAGGAUGACCAGCCACACGGGAACGGAGACACGGUCCAGACGCCGACGGGAGGCAGCAGUGGGGAAUAUUGCACAAUGUGCGCAAGCCUGAUGCAGCCAUGCCGCGUGUAUGAAGAAGGCCUUCGGGUUGUAAAGUACUUUCAGCGGGGAGGAAGGCGGUGAAGUUAAUAACUUCACCGAUUGACGUUACCCGCAGAAGAAGCACCGGCUAACUCCGUGCCAGCCGCCGCCGUAA